Long non-coding RNA from Dreissena polymorpha, 378 nucleotides. RefSeq lists it as uncharacterized. The record is from RefSeq and is a predicted model, not a curated record. The transcript is spliced from 3 exons. Lineage: Eukaryota; Metazoa; Mollusca; Bivalvia; Myida; Dreissenidae.
GUGACUGGCGGAACCGACGAUGGAGUGACCCGACUUGUCGCACAAGCUGCAAAUGAGUUCAACAGACGUUCCAAGACAAAGACAAACAACGAUGAAUGUCCAACUAUUGGAAUAGUCUGUUUGGACCGAUUACGAAAUGAGGACACAAUAAAGCCUUGGGAACUGACCAGAGGAGUGUUCGGCAUUGACUCAGAUGGUGAGCUGUUUACAAUCGAUGACAACGGUGAAAGGUGGACGUUAAACCUAGCUUCAUUGACCGAAGUUAAUGCUCAAAGAGACGGUAACACUUCGACUAGCGCUUUAGCGAGUGAUACUCAUGCCAAUUCAAGUUCUCCUCGCUUUGCUGUUGGCGACUUGGUGAAGAUAAGAAAGAAGGCG